Molecule: non-coding RNA, 1083 nt
Filed under: Perkinsus marinus ATCC 50983
Lineage: Eukaryota; Perkinsozoa; Perkinsida; Perkinsidae
Description: Eukaryotic large subunit ribosomal RNA
Rfam family: Eukaryotic large subunit ribosomal RNA
Source: Rfam by way of RNAcentral
GGCGAUGAGGGAUGAACCUAACGCUCGGUUAAGGUGCUAAACUGCUCGCUCAUCAGAUACCACAAAGGGUGUUGGUCGAUCUUAACAGCAGGACGGUGGUCAUGGAAGUCGAAAUCCGCUAAGGAGUGUGUAACAACUCACCUGCCGAAUCGACUAGCCCCGAAAAUGGAUAGCGCUGAAGCGAGUGACCGAUACCGGGCCAUUGUUGCAAGAUAAUUGGCAACAAUGAGUAGGAGGGCGUGGGGGUUGUGAAGAAGCUUGGACGUGAGUCUGAGUGAAACAGCUUCCAGUGCAGAUCUUGGUGGUAGUAGCAAGUAUUCAAUAAGAGAACAUUGAAGGCCGAAGUGGGGAAGGGUUCCAUGUGAACAGCACUUGGACAUGGGUUAGCCGAUCCUGAGAGACAGGUUAAAUUCCAUCGGAUUGGAGCUUUGGCUCUGUUUCUCGAAAGGGAAGCUGGUUAGUAUUCCAGCGCCGAGACGUGGAUAAUAUGUGGCAACACAAGUGAACUCGGACACGCCAUAGGGGACCCCAGGAAGCGUUGUCUUUUCUUUUUAACAGUUCGACUUACCCUGGAAUCAGAUCAUCUGGAGAUAGGGUUUUCGAACUGGAAUAGCACCUUGUCUAACAGGGUGUCUGGAGUGUUCUCGCUGGCCCUUGAAAAUCCGAGGGAUAGAUUUAUUCGCACUCUCGAUCGUACCCAUAACCGCAUCAGGUCUCCAAGGUUAGAAGCCUCUGGUCCGUAGGACAAAGUAGAUAAGGGAAGUCGGCAAAAUAGGUCCGUAACUUCGGGAAAAGGACUGGCUCUGAGGUUUGGUAUGUGGAACCUGGAUUAAUCGUUGGAGUCGAGCAGAGACUACUUGUUGCUCACGUGACUUGUGGACUCCUUGCUUGAUACCUUCAAUUGAUCCAGGCUGCUUCGGCGCUCUGCAUGCACUUAACAAACAGCUCAGACUGGAGCGGACAAGGGGAAUCCGACUGUUUAAUCAAACAAAGCAUUGUGAUGGCCUCAAAGUGUUGACACAAUGUGAUUUCUGCCCAGUGCUCUGAUGUCAAAGUGAUGAAAUUCAAACAAGCGCGGGUAAA